This is a non-coding RNA of Cyanistes caeruleus (blue tit), 2522 nucleotides long. Lineage: Eukaryota; Metazoa; Chordata; Aves; Passeriformes; Paridae. The record is from RefSeq and is a predicted model, not a curated record.
GUGGACAGUUCAUCCAUGGAGACCUUCGAAAGCCAUCCGGAUUUAACCCAGGAUGACCAGACAGAAAACACAGGGUAACUUGAAGUCAAUGAAACUUGACCACUGUGUACAGAAUCAGGUUGUACCAAAAUUUAGUCUUCUUUAACUGGAUAGAAAAGUAAAUUAUCCAGGGAGUGGAGUGGGAAUAUAAAAUAAUUGUAGAAACACAUUUGGCCUCAGCAAUCUGCACCUGAGCAUCUAAGACAUUAUCAGAGGUAUUGUGAAAAUGCAUUGCACAACUUGUUUGAAGGUUAGGAAUUUAAGGAAAAGCAUACUUGAACAGAUAUUUACUCUCUAAACUGUGAAGUCUGGAAAGCAAAAUAGAAUGUAUAAACAUGGUAUAUAAAUUUAAAUUGUCAUUGUGGCCAGGUCUACAGAUAAUUACAACUGAAAUACUUUGUCCUAGGACAGAGAGGAAAUUUCCAUCCUACAAUCAUGUAGAAUGGUGGCUGCAAAAUGCACAGAAGAAUAACUCUCUGAUACAAGGAUAGUUUCACAAAACAGCAGCGGGUUGAUAUGUUUUCCCCUAAUAGCACAGAAAAGGGUUUUUUGGGGGGUUUUUUGUUUGUUUUUUUUGAGGGUUUUGUUUUUUGUUCUGCAGAGGUUUCUGGAACACACUUUGUUAGUCUUCUUAAAAAUUGCAAAACUCUAAUAUAUGUGGUUAGAAUGUAAGUUCAAUCAGCUAGUGUAAUCCUAUAUACCCAGUAGAUUCAUUUUUUAAAUGGUACACUAUGAACAAGAACCCACUGCAUACAAUUAGUAUUUUCAGAGUCCCACAUCUCAGUCUAAUCAUAACCAGAUUUUUUGAGUGACAGAAUUCACUGUAUUUUAGUUUAUCCCUUUUACAUCCCACACACCACUUUCGAAGUCUCAAAUAUUUUAGAGGUGUUGAAGUAAAGACUGAAAACAUAACUCAGAAACAGAGGAAGUGUUUUAUCUGUCUGUUCCUGUGCUAACACAUACUAAAAUAUUUUCCUGUCCUUAUUGCACUCUCAAAGAUUCACCAGGAGAGCUAUGCUGGAAUACAGAUGAGUUAAAGAAAAUGGCAAAAUUGGAAAUCUUUCAAAAAUAGGAAUAGAAGAAUUCUUUCUCUAUCUUAAUUACUAAAACAUAAGAAUGUGUAUCAUUUUUGGAAUUACUUGUAAGGAAUUUUUUUAUAGCCCAUUUUAGCUUCUCCUAGAAGCACUGCACAUUUUCUGCAUUUUCCCAGCUUUCAAACAGCUAUAGAUUGUGAAAUGAAAAACUAAAACUUAAAUCCAGUUGUGAAUUUGCACUGUAGUAAGUUUCACUUGAUGUUUAAAACAUGCUAAAUAUCCUUUUCAGGGUAAUCCAAAGUACAGGAGGUAGUUCAUUUGGCUUGCCAAUUCUCAUGGUGCAGGUUAGGAUCUUCAGUGUGAGUGUAGGCCACCUCAAUUUAACACCUGUCUUUCACUUACCAUUUUUAUACUUCUAAUACUUUUCCUUUCUUACAUUUGCCUUCAUUAUAUCCUUUUUAUUAUUAUUGUUUAGACACAGAGUAAACAAUGCAUAUUAUAGCAUAGUUCUCCAUCCUCAUUCUAUUUUCCUAUGAUGAUUUUUUUCAACAUUAGGUGGACAGUACAUCACUACUGCAGCAAAUGUCAUUAGCAGAUAGAUCAUUUUUUCCAGUGCUUGAAACCUCUGAGAAGAGGGAAUUUUAUCAGGUUUGUGUGUUCUAACAGUCUAAAAAUAAGAUUCUAGUCAGCCUCAGUUUGAAGCUUUUCAUUAGAUCUAAAUCCCAGGCAUCUUUCUGAAAAUUAAAUGAAGGAAAUUGGAAUAAGGGACAACCACUUCUUGUCUUCAACAAGUUGAACUCCAAAGUUUGUUUAUUCACUCUUCUAGUUAUAUAAUUUAAACUGGACUAAGUUGAGUAAGAGGUUCAUUUACUCUUUGUUAGGAUACUUUUGAUAAGGUUAAAAAAAAUUAAAAGAAUGUAAACAGGUUUCUAUUCAUCUAACACAUUUUUCACUACCUGUUGCCAUUUUGGUUUUUCAAAUUAAGUAUAUAAUUAGUUUGACUAUAUUCUUUCCUUAGAGAUUGACAGGAAAAUCUAUGGCUUGUGAAGGUGGAAAACAAAGAAAUCAAUAGGUGUCUGUGUUAGUGGGAACCUGAGGGGAUUUGUAAGUGUGGCAGCAAGAGCUGACGAUUUUUCUAAGGUGAUAUUCUACACUAUGUCAGAGAUUAUAUCUUGAUUCUUAUUGCAGAAUCAGUAAAAAAAAAAAAUACUACAAACUCUGCUUUCUUAUGGCAGAGAGAAUACACUUGGAAUCUACUCAACCAUUUCCCACGAGUGAAUUUUUAUUCAUAUUUUUCUGUCCUAACAAAUACUCCCCAUACAUCACAGAGGCACAAGGACACUUGCAAAUAGAGUUUACCUAUACAAUAGUCUGGAAAUCUUAAAGCUAUGAAGGGUUUGGGGAAGAAAACAAAGGAAAUCUUUGGUAAUAAAAAGUUCUUUCAAACUA